UACGUAGGGUCCGAGCGUUGUCCGGAAUUACUGGGCGUAAAGAGCUCGUAGGUGGUUUGUCGCGUUGUCCGUGAAAACUCACAGCUCAACUGUGGGCGUGCGGGCGAUACGGGCAGACUGGAGUACUGCAGGGGAGACUGGAAUUCCUGGUGUAGCGGUGGAAUGCGCAGAUAUCAGGAGGAACACCGGUGGCGAAGGCGGGUCUCUGGGCAGUAACUGACGCUGAGGAGCGAAAGCGUGGGGGAGCGAACAGG
Molecule: ribosomal RNA, 254 nt
Filed under: uncultured bacterium
Lineage: Bacteria
Description: partial 16S ribosomal RNA
Rfam family: Bacterial small subunit ribosomal RNA
Source: RNAcentral